GGGCUGUAGCUUAAUGGUAGAGCAUCUGCUUUGCAUGCAGAAGGUCCCAGGGUCAAUCCCCACCAGCAUCA
Molecule: non-coding RNA, 71 nt
Organism: Podarcis lilfordi (Lilford's wall lizard)
Lineage: Eukaryota; Metazoa; Chordata; Lepidosauria; Squamata; Lacertidae
Source: the annotation of a GenBank genome assembly